CCAACAACCAAACAAAAUGGCGGCGGCUGAGCUCCUCGCGCUGGGCUCUUAAAGGAGCCGCGUUGCCUCGGGCCUGGCGGUCGGUAGAGGCGGAGAUCGUUCGAGGGAGGAAGGGGGAUGGUACAGGUGGGCCGCUGAGAGCCGGGGCCUUCGCACGGGGCCGCCAGGAGGCCACCCCGCCCGGCGAGCGGGAAGCAGCGAAGCGGCGUUACCAUGUCAACCCAGAGAUUGGUCAUAUGAUAUUCUAUAUUUUUGGCAAUGAAGAAAGGCUACAUAAAAAAAGAAUUAUGUGGAAAAACUCAGAUGUCAGCUUUUCGGACACCUAGUCCAAUGUCUUCUGUUGGUUCAAGCAUCGGAUCGCCAUCUCCCCUUAGCCAAAAGCCAUCUUCAUCUGCUUGCAAAAAUCAACAGCUUGAUACUACAGCAAAUGUAGAAGCUGCUUUUGAAUCUAAGUUUCAUGAAGAUGAAAAUGGUGUUAGUCCAGGUGUUAGGUACAUUACAGAACCCCUUAUAAAAAGUCUGUCAAAACAGGAAAAUUUGGCAUAUAUAAGCUCAUUGAAUCUUUCUUCACCAAAGGAUGGGGACAAGAAAUUCAGGUACAUAGAAAAUUUGGAAAAAUGUUCUAAACUAGAGAGACUGAAUCUAAGUAACAAUCAAAUAGAGAAGAUUGAAAAGCUGGAUAAACUGUUGAAGUUGCGUGAACUCAAUUUGUCUUGCAACAAGAUCAGUAAGAUUGAAGGCAUGGAACACCUACAUAACCUACAAAAGAUGAACCUUGCGGGGAAUGAGAUUGAGCAUAUUCCUGUGUGGGUAGGGAAGAAACUGAGAUCCCUGCGCAUCCUUAAUUUGAAACAGAACAAAGUGUCAUCACUUCACGAAAUAGCUAAACUAAAGCCUCUGCAAGAUCUGACUUCUCUGUUCCUUGCUGGUAAUCCAGUUGCAAGCCUGCCUCACUACCGCUUGUACACGAUAUUCCACUUGCGAGCACUGGAAAAUUUGGAUGGACAGCCAGUGACAAAUCAUGACAGACAGGAAGCUCUAAAGAGGUUUGAUUUAGAAGAGAUAGAAAAAUUAGAAAGAGAGUUAGAGAACGUGAUAAAGGAGAUGGAGAACCUUAAACUUAACCAGUCCAAAGUGCUUGAACAACUUCACCAUCAAGAUGAGGUCAACAAAUCAUUAAAAGAAAAGACUUUGCAGCAGAAGCGAAACUGUGAAGAUCUACAAAGGGAAGUGGAUACCAAAAACGAAUUGCUGAGGCAGAAAACAAUGGAGCUGACCCGAGCUUGCCAGAAGCAGUAUGAAUUGGAGCAGGAGCUGGCCUUUUAUAAGAUUGAUGCAAAAUUUGAGCCAUUAAGUUAUUUUCCACCAGAGGAUGUUGAGCUAGAUGAUGUACCUGGUGAAAGCCCGUACAUUGGGAAGGCCAGGUACAAAAGAAAUAUGUUUAUAAGAGAAGGCUACAUUGCUAGUAAAGCUCAGCAAAUGGAGACUGGAAAAAUACAACCAGAUGACAAUGAUUUGUAUAGGAAAUCACAGCUGAAACCUCAGUUUCAAACUCUAGAUGGGCAAUUGGAGAGUAAAGAAAAAAAGAUUCAUUCAGCACAAAGGAGAUUAGAAGAGCUGCAAAAUGCAAUAGGCAAGGCAGAGCAACAAGUUUUGGAAGUAACAGGGGAACUGCAACAACUGGAGGAUGCUCUGGCUCAGAAAAAAAUCUCACAGGCCAACAGGGAGGAUCUCGAGCAGCAGCUGAGUAAGAAGAUACAAAUACUGCAUCAGCUACAAGAGGAAGCUUUAGCACUGGAAAAACAAAUGGAGAAACAGAAAAGAGAAAUAGGGAAAAAGCAGAAAGAGCUUGAAGACUUGAAGAGUUCUCUUGCUUCUGUAAAUGCUAAAGAUCCAAGACACGCUCACAUGAAGGCUCAAAAAGCAAGUAAAGAACAGCAGAUUGAGGUAAUGAACAAACAGUACAAACAGCUCGAGAGUCGCCUGGAUGAAAUGCUUUCUAGGAUUGCUAAGGAAACUGAGGAAAUCAAGGACUUGGAACAACAGCUCACUGAUGGUCAAAUAGCAACAAACGAAGCACUGAAAAAGGAUUUAGAAAGUAUUAUCCUUGGAUUACAGGAAUACCUGGAAAGCGUUAAGCAUCAAGCAAAACAGGCCAAUGAUGAAUGUAAAGUGUUGCAGAAGGAUAAAGAAUCUUUGCUACAGAGGUUGGCAGAUCUAGAGGAGGAAAGAAACAGCCUGAAAAUAGUUGUCAUGGAUGCUGAAAAUAUGAGAAAAGAAAUAGCAGUGCUAGAAGGUGCACUUCAAGAGCAGCGAGAGAUAAAUGAAUCACUUAAAGAUGCACAAGGGGAUGUCAGUGCCUAUGAGGCUGAACUGGAAGCCCAGCUAAGAGACAGAGACACUGAAGCCAAUCAGCAAAAGGAAGAAUUGGAAAGACUGAAACAACUUAGCCAGAUGGAACUGUCAGCUCUGCGGGCUGAACUUGAGAAAGAAAGGCAAGCAUUAGAGAAUGCUCUGACCAAAGCACAAUUAGCAGAAGAGAAGGAACAAGAAAACUAUAAGCUGCUUUCUCAGUUCAAACAACUGCAGGGAGACAAUAAUCUCCUGAAACAACAGCUUCAGGAUCUUCAGAAUCAGCUAAGCCAUGCAGUUGGUAACCUGAUACACCCUGAGGAAGUUCUAGCUCGUGUAAAUGAACUCAAGCAAAAGCUUCGGACAGGAGCAGGAGAGAUUAAAUGUCGGAAUUCAGCUGAUGUUUUGGGGAAAAGCCUUGCAAAUCUGCAGAAAGAAUUUAAUAACAUCCUGGCUGAUACACAGAGGGAAAAAGAGAAAGCAUGGGAAAGACAGAGACAAUUGCAAGAGGAAAUGGUAUCCCAGCAGGAAAAACUAGAAGAUAUACAGGAAAAAUACAGACAGGUUAAAUCUGAAAACAGGCAGAAUAAGAACAAGGUCCAUCAGUUAGAGAAUGAAAUUCAACAUUUACAUGAAAAAAUGAAGAGUAUGGAAGAAAUUCAGGGCCUGGCUGAUCAACAGCUCCAAGAGGCAGAUGAAGAAAAAGAGGCUAUUCUUGCUCAACUAGAAGACUUAGAGAAAAAGAAAAAAAUAGAAGACGCCAGGGCACAAAUGCAAUUUGCUAGGCUAGAUAAAGAGCUGAAGGAAUUAAAGAGAGCAAUCAUCACUUCAGAUAAACUGGCGGCCGCUGAGCUAUCCAUAGCUAAAAAUCAGCUGCAGGCUCUUCAUGGGACUGUUCUCAAAAUCAAUCAGGAACGAGCUGAGGAAUUUGAGGAAGCUGAAGAGUUCUGUGUUGAGGCAGCUCGUGCAACUCGGGAUCUUGCCCGAGCAGAAGCAGAAAUAGAAUUGUUACAACAGCUUCUAAAACAGAGGGAAGAACAACUUCAACAUGAAAUGGAGAAAGCUGGUGAGAAGACUGCAUCAAGCUCUCAAAAGGUAGAAAUUGAUAAACUAAAUGACACAGUGGAGCAACAGAAAGCAGAAAUUGACCGUUUAAGAUGGUUGUUGGAUAACACUGGGGCAGGUAACAAGGAUGAAAUCGACAACUUACAAGAAGAAAUUGCAGCACUCAGAAAUGCACUCUCAUACCAGAAUGAUUACCUGACCGGUAUAGCAGAUCCACUGACAAGAAGAGGAUACUGGUAUUACAUGCCACCAUCACAGGCCUCAACUCCCGCCUCCCACAGCACAAAGGAUUCUGGAGUUGGUUUACAGUGUCCUGGCACAUCCCCACCCAGAAGAGGGUGUAGUCAGGUCAGGAAGGAAGACUUACCCAGGUCAAGAGGGUGCUGGGUUUAUUCACCAGUCAGAACCAGGUUGUACAAAACCGAUCCUGAUAAAGCUAGAAGAACAAAAGAAGAUGGUGAAGGAAAUGAGGAAGCUCGUGCUCACAAAGACCCACCCUUUGUACCACCACCUGGUGCAGUUAUCUAUACAGUCCUCCCAGAUGGAGCUCCUCUACCCCACGGAACUGUGGCUUAUGGCCCUCCUCCUGCAGCUGCAAACGGAGCUUCAGUUGCUCCUGGAUCUGUUAUCUAUGGCCCGCCUCCUGUGGGAGCCCAGGUUGUUUAUGGCCUUCUUCCUCCGAACUUUACUGUCCCACUCAUUCCUUUUGGAGAGCUUCACUGCAACGUACCCAAACAUCGUGACUUGGAGAGUGAACUCUCAAGGUUAGAAGACACUGUGCAUCAUUUAAAGUCUCGGAAACACAGAGAUAAAUGGUCAGGGGCAGCUGAGCAUAAACGCAAGAAUGAAAUGGAAAAAUUGCAUCAAGACAUAGAAGAUCUUCUGCAUGAAAGAGAAGAGCUGGAACAUGAAGUAGCAGAGCUACAAAGAGCAGCUCAAAAACGUAACAAACGCAAUGACUUUAUUGAAGGGUACACUGAAAACUUAAUGGCAGAACUACAAUUAGAAAAAUCUCUUAAACAUCAUGAAGAUAUUGCAGAUGAAAUUGAAUGUAUAGAGAAGACUCUUCUGAAACGCCGAGCAGAGCUUAGAGAGGCAGACAGGCUUCUCUCAGAAGCUGAAGUGGAACUUGAGAGCACCCGGGGAAAGACUAAAGACACUAUUCAAAAGUACAAUCAUGCCAAACAGCAUUUGUCCCGUACUGAAACUGAGGCAGAGGAGCUAGAGCGAAGGGCUCAGGAAAUGGCCACUAAACUUGUGAAAGCAGAUCAGCAAUUAAGAUCAUUACAGGCAGAUACAAGGGAUUUAGAACAGCAUAAGAAGGAACAAGAAGGUAUUUUGAAGGAAAUCAACAAAAUGGUGUCUGCAAGAGACUCCGAGUUCCAGUCAUUAAACCAGAAAAUAGAAAUGCUGACUGAAAGUCUUCAGAAGCUUCAAGGAGAUAUUCAAGUUGCAGAAGAUAAUGAAGGACAUCACCUCCAAGUCCUCAGAGAAGCAGAAGACAUUCUUCAAGUCAAGAAAACUGAACUGGAAAGACUGAAAAAUCAGGUUACUGCUCAGCAACAAGAGCUGUUGUUUCUGGAGCAGCAGUUAAGUCAAAGAAAAGAGCAGCUCCGUGUCCUUCAGGACUGUAUUGCUCAAAAGAAAGGUGACCUCAAAGAAGCUCUUCGAGACGGGGAGGCUGAAGCAAAGGAAAAACAGCGCCAAAUAAAAGAAAUAAAGCUGCUUCUGGAAGAUCUUAACGCUGAGAGAAGAGAACUGGAUGUCCAAAUUGAUGAGAAAAGGGCACAGCUUUCCUUCAUAAAGAAGGAUAUUGGAAAAGAGGAAGAAAAUCUUCAAAGAAUACUUGGGCAAAUAAACAAGCAUAAGCUAGAACUGAAACACGUUCUGGAAAUGCUGGAGAUUGAAAAUAAUGAACUUCAGGGUUUGAAACUACAACAUGAUCAAAAGGUCAAUGAACUGGAGAAGACUCAGGUUGCAGUUCUAGAAGAGAAGUUAAAAUUGGAGAAUGUUCAGAGAUUAUUUCAGUGUCAGCAAGGGGAAGUAGAUUGGCAGGAACAACUGCUUCAGAAGGACCGUCAGGAAAAUGAACAUCUGGUUUCUCAAAUGCGCGCUCUGCAAAAUAAUAUUGAGUCUCUGAAUAAGGAAAAGCAAAAGCUUGAAGAGGACUGUCAGAGUUUGGAGAAGAAGCUGUCACAAACCAGAAGAGACUUGACUGCUACUGAAGAUAGCAUCGGAACCAUGUUGUCCAACGUAGAAAAAAUGGAACUGGAUAUUAAAAACCUGCAGCAGGAGGUAGAUGUACUGCAUAAACAAAAAAAGUCACUGAAUGGAGAGAUCACUGUUGUACAAAAAGACCUUCAAGAAAAAAAGAAGGAACUAGAGGUGGUGCAAGGAGAAUUAAAUGAGUCCAGGCAGCAGCUUCAGCUGGCGGAACAGAAUUUGAAAGAUAAUACAAAGCACCAGGAAGAGCUGCUUAGAGAGCAGGCAACCCUGAAAGAAGAUAUCUUAAAAUCCUUAAGGAAAUGUAAGGAUUACCAAGAGAGACAGAAGAAGAGAGAGAACCAUUUGCAGCAGCUCCAGAAAGAGAUUGAAGAGAAAGAAACAAUACUGGCCAAACAAGAAGCGGUAAAUAACCGGAUCCUUUAUAACCUCAAGCAAAAUGCAGAACAUGAAGGAAAAAAACUGGAAGAAAAUACUGCUAAACUCAAAGAACAGAAACUGCUUUUGGAAAAGGAACUAAUGGAUCAACAAGAGAAACUGGAACAGGCAGUAGCAAAAGUAAGGCUGACAGAAGAAAACAAGAGGAGGCUGGAAAAAGAAGCAUCUCAAUUUGCAGCGCUCGAAGAAACUAUCAGAAAAAGCAAACAUCAGAUAUCAGAAAAAGAACUACAGUUACAACAAAAAAAUGGAGAAAUUCAGUCUCUUCAAAAAGAAUUGGAACUCUCCAAGUCUGAGCUAAACCAUGUCCAGGGGCAGCUAGCGUCAGAGAGGAAAAAAGCUGAAAAACAAAUCUGGAGCCUGAAAGAAGCGAUGAAAAAGCAGAGGACACAGCUUGAAAGAGAACUGCAUGAACAAAAGCAUGAAAAUAACUGCCUGCAGAGUGAUAUAGCAGCUGCUGAACAAGUAGCGCAGAAUAACCAUGAACGAACCAAGCACCUCAUUAAAGAGCUUGGCCAGAUCCAGCAGGACUACGUGGAUCUCCAAAACCAGGUUAAGGCUCAAGAAGACCUGGAAAGGAGACAAAGGGAGAUAAAGAACACAGAAACAUUGCUUAAAGUAGAGGUUGAAGAUGAGAUUAAGACAAGGUUUAAAUCUUCAAGCCCAUCUUCUCCAGAACUGGUGGAAGACUUGGAAGCAUUUUCCGCAGUAAAUAGAAGUCUGCAGUGUGAAACUGAUAAUUUAGAGGAGAUGUUUUCAUUUGCUGACGCUGACAGAAGGCUGUUCUCACUGGAAAAAAAGCUGGAUUUUUCUCAAGUCUUUGUAAUGGAUGAACAGUGGCGUGGAGAAGCUCUCCGAGAGAAACUGCAGCAUCACGAAGAUCGGCUGAAGGCUCAGCUCCGGCGCUGCAUGUCCAAGCAGGUCGACGUGUUAAUCAGAGGAAAACAACAAACUCAAGGCACCCUUCACAGCCUGCAGCGGCAGCUGGACGCGCUGGAUGACCUCGUCAGCAGCACUUCCUCAGAUUCACAGUUCCUAGCUGAAAGUUCAUCAAGUCUGGUAUCUCUUCGUGAUGCUCUGAAUUUAACAAAAACACAGGCUGCUCUGCCAGAACACGCACACUUCCCCAGCAGGCCGCCAGGCGUGUCAGCGCUGUCGCAGCCGUGGCGUUCCUGCUCCUGAGAAAUUUCUCAGUAAAGCACCAAAGCCAACAGCUGAUCUGCACGUGCACUUGUGCUCCUUGAGACUGUGCCAUCAUCUUCCACUUCUGAAGCCUUCUACCUCACUGUUCUGCAAGCCUUUGCUAUAAAGCUUUCCUCAGGACCCAAAGCCCUGACUGCAGGAAAGCAGAAGUGCCUACACAGCAACACUUGCAAGCCAGUGCAAUGUGGUAGGUGGAAAAGAGCCCAGGAAGGCAGGAAUGAAGAACUGCAGUGUUAACGUACAAGCACCCUCAGCCACAGGGCAAGUAGAGAGAGCCAGAGCAAGAAACACAAGUCACUGACUUAGUACCAGAGGCAUCCAGCAGAACUCCGGUCCUGUCUGCUCUGAAGCCCCAUC
This is an RNA transcript of Numida meleagris (helmeted guineafowl), 7638 nucleotides long. It is a transcript of the gene named centriolin, with no coding region annotated. The transcript is spliced from 46 exons. The record is from RefSeq and is a predicted model, not a curated record. Lineage: Eukaryota; Metazoa; Chordata; Aves; Galliformes; Numididae.